Molecule: ribosomal RNA, 496 nt
Filed under: uncultured bacterium
Lineage: Bacteria
Description: partial 16S ribosomal RNA
Rfam family: Bacterial small subunit ribosomal RNA
Source: RNAcentral
AUGAACGCUGGCGGCGUGCCUAGUACAUGCAAGUCGAGCGAACAGAUGAGGAGCUUGCUCCUCUGACGUUAGCGGCGGACGGGUGAGUAACACGUGGAUAACCUACCUAUAAGACUGGGAUAACUUCGGGAAACCGGAGCUAAUACCGGAUAAUAUAUUGAACCGCAUGGUUCAAUAGUUAAAGACGGUUUUGCUGUCACUUAUAGAUGGAUCCGCGCCGCAUUAGCUAGUUGGUAAGGUAACGGCUUACCAAGGCAACGAUGCGUAGCCGACCUGAGAGGGUGAUCGGCCACACUGGAACUGAGACACGGUCCAGACUCCUACGGGAGGCAGCAGUAGGGAAUCUUCCGCAAUGGGCGAAAGCCUGACGGAGCAACGCCGCGUGAGUGAUGAAGGUCUUCGGAUCGUAAAACUCUGUUAUUAGGGAAGAACAAAUGUGUAAGUAACUAUGCACGUCUUGACGGUACCUAAUCAGAAAGCCACGGCUAACUACGUG